Molecule: RNA transcript, 1602 nt
Organism: Zingiber officinale
Lineage: Eukaryota; Viridiplantae; Streptophyta; Magnoliopsida; Zingiberales; Zingiberaceae
Gene name: ADP-ribosylation factor-like
Exons: 8
Source: RefSeq, a predicted model, not a curated record
ACAAAGCCCGACGCGUCACUUCCAUUUCUUUCCUCUUCUUCGUCGCUUCUUCCAUUCCCAGAUCUUCUUCGUCUCCGUACCCUCCUCCUCCCUCUCUCGCCGAUCCGUGGCCGAUCGAGCCUUUUCUGGAUAGGCAAGGAUAACGAAGGCGAGGGGGCGAGCAGCGAGUCGGGCAUGGGACAAGCCUUCCGCAAGCUCUUCGACAGAUUCUUCGGUCUCGUCGAAAUGAGGGUUGCAAUGCUUGGAUUGGAUGCAGCUGGCAAGACAACGAUUUUGUACAAGUUGCACAUUGGAGAAGUUUUGUCGACUGUUCCAACUAUCGGCUUCAAUGUGGAGAAGGUCCAGUAUAAAAAUGUGGUAUUUACAGUAUGGGAUGUUGGUGGACAAGAAAAAUUAAGACCCUUAUGGAGGCAUUACUUCAGCAAUACCGAUGCUUUGAUCUAUGUUGUGGAUUCGUUGGAUAGGGAAAGGAUUGGAAAGGCUAGAGAAGAAUUUCAGACGAUUAUCCGAGAUCCAUUCAUGUUGAACAGUGUUAUAUUGGUAUUUGCUAAUAAGCAGGACUUGAAAGGUGCAAUGACUCCAAUGGAGGUAUCUGAAGGAUUGGGUCUCUAUGAUCUGAGGAAUCGAACAUGGCACAUCCAGGGAACUUGCGCCCUUGCCGGAGAUGGUCUCUACGAGGGACUUGAUUGGCUAGUCACAGCUUUGAAGGAGUUGCAAACCCCUGGCCGAAUUCUGGCUUGAUCCUUAUCGGCCGUCUACAAAGCUUAAGAUAGACUAAUCCCGAAGACGACUCUUUUUAGCACUUUCUCUGAUGUCCUUUAAUGGCGGCGUCGAGCUUCUUGAGAGGAGCAGCAGCGGUCUCCGGCGAGAGCAGAACGGGAGUGGGCUCACUGAUUGAAGCAGGAGACGAUCGCACAGCGGGGACUCAGCAGUGUUUCGAAGGAAAAGGAAGCCUUUUGACGAUAUCCCACCGGCGAUCACAGUACAUAGAAGAAAGUACUUUGAGGUCGCAGGAGAAUUUUCAUUACCGAUGGCGAAAAAUCCGAUCUCGCAGAUUAGGGUUCUUGGCCCUUGUUCGGUGGGCGAUCGGUGAAGCUUGCUCAGGGUUAAGGAUUCCCCAUCAUACUCUUCCUUCUCUACCUCCACCCUCCGCUGACGGCUCCGACUCUCCAUCCAUCGCGUCGCCGAUCUCCUUCCUCUCCUCCGAGCAUAAUGCCGCUUCUACUUCAGAGUCGCAGCCAGUUGAUGAUCCCUCGAUCCCUUCUACUGUCCGUGGGAAUCGACCUUCUACGCCUGCCAGGCAUUUGAAUGAGACAUGCACGCCGAACAUCUGGAGGUCGCUGCAUUGGCUGAGACUGGGAACAGGCUUUCCGAGUAAUGAUGUCAUUCUAUGAUAUCUUCGACCAGCGUUAGUUGCCUUUAAGUGGACGAUGAUCCUGUUUCCUUUCUCCGUAGAUACAGUGAAUCACAGACACAAGAAUCAGGACGAGGAACGCCGGGCUCCCCUCCAUUGUUUUUUUAUAUCUUUUCGGAUCGCUAAGCUCUGAGCUCGCUCCGCGCCAUCGACGGAUCGACCCAUCGACGACCAGGAGGAACGAAGAA